RNAcentral lists this long non-coding RNA (901 nucleotides) under Homo sapiens (human). RNAcentral describes it as "non-protein coding lnc-CNTNAP5-7:1". The record is from RNAcentral. Lineage: Eukaryota; Metazoa; Chordata; Mammalia; Primates; Hominidae.
AAGACUUCUUAGACUCGGAGAAGAUAUGCCUGGACUGGGUCGUGGCCACCUACAGAUGCUCCUGCAGUGGAAACAGCAGAAAAAGUCUAUAUUUCUUCCCUGGCACUGUUAAAAAUGUUAAAGCACGGAGAUGCUGGAGUUCCAAUGGAAGUUACGGGUCUGAAGCUUGGAGAAUUUGUUGAUUAUUAUACCAUCAGAGUGAUUGACAUGUUGGCUAUGCCAUAGGUGUCAGUGUGGAGGCAUUUGAUCUAAUGUUCCAAGCUAAAACGUGAAUAUAUUGAAUCAGACAGGAAAGCCUGAGAUGGUUACUGGUUGUCAUCACAGUCACUUGGCUUGGUUGCUGGGGUUUCUGGGGUGGAUAUCAGUACUCAGCCGAGUUUUGAAGGCUUGUCAGAGGGAGCUUUGACGGUGGUUGUGGAUUCCAUUCGGAGUGUAAAAGGGAAGGUUGUUAGUGAUGCCUUCAGGUUAAUCAAUGCUAAUAUGAUGGUCUUGGUACAUGAACCAAGACUAACAACUUCAAAUAUGAGUCACUUAAACAAGCCAUCUAUCCAGGCAAUAAUUGAUGGAUGAAACAGACAUUAUUACUCUAUUACUGUUAACUAUCAGAAAAAUAAACUGGAAUAGAAGAUGUUGCUAAAUUUGCAUAAGAAGAGUUGAAUGGAAGGUUUGACACUUCAGGAUUACAAUGAACAUUAUAAAUGCAAUGAUUUAGUAUUAAAAUAGAUGCUGGAAUUGGCCAAGAAUUACAAAAAGGCUGUAGAUGAAGAAGAUGAGAUGACACCUAAACAGCUGGCAAUAGGGUGUUGGCUAGCAGAACACUAAUGUCACUUGGAGGAACAAGUGGAUUUAGUCAUGACUUCAAAUAUUGUUUAGCAACUAUGUUGAAUACUGUUGUAUUUAA